UACGAGGGGGGCAAGCGUUGUUCGGAAUUAUUGGGCGUAAAGGGUGCGUAGGCGGUUCCGCAAGUCCUGUGUGAAAUCUUCGGGCUCAACUGGGAGCUUGCAGGCGAAACUGCCGUGCUGGAGUGUGGGAGAGGUGCGUGGAAUUCCUGGUGUAGCGGUGAAAUGCGUAGAUAUCAGGAGGAACACCUGUGGCGAAAGCGGCGCACUGGACCACAACUGACGCUGAGGCGCGAAAGCUAGGGGAGCAAACAGG
This 253-nucleotide ribosomal RNA is filed under the name uncultured bacterium. RNAcentral's name for it is "partial 16S ribosomal RNA". It matches the Rfam family "Bacterial small subunit ribosomal RNA", at positions 524 to 776 of the family's 1533-position model. The record is from RNAcentral.